This 599-nucleotide ribosomal RNA is filed under the name marine bacterium CS-76. RNAcentral's name for it is "bacterial SSU rRNA". It matches the Rfam family "Bacterial small subunit ribosomal RNA", at positions 40 to 624 of the family's 1533-position model. The record is from RNAcentral.
CGGGGCGGCUAUAAUGCAGUCGAGCGGACAGAAGGGAGCUUGCUCCCGGAUGUUAGCGGCGGACGGGUGAGUAACACGUGGGUAACCUGCCUGUAAGACUGGGAUAACUCCGGGAAACCGGAGCUAAUACCGGAUAGUUCCUUGAACCGCAUGGUUCAAGGAUGAAAGACGGUUUCGGCUGUCACUUACAGAUGGACCCGCGGCGCAUUAGCUAGUUGGUGGGGUAAUGGCUCACCAAGGCGACGAUGCGUAGCCGACCUGAGAGGGUGAUCGGCCACACUGGGACUGAGACACGGCCCAGACUCCUACGGGAGGCAGCAGUAGGGAAUCUUCCGCAAUGGACGAAAGUCUGACGGAGCAACGCCGCGUGAGUGAUGAAGGUUUUCGGAUCGUAAAGCUCUGUUGUUAGGGAAGAACAAGUGCGAGAGUAACUGCUCGCACCUUGACGGUACCUAACCAGAAAAGCCACGGCUAACUACGUGCCAGCAGCCGCGGUAAUACGUAGGUGGCAGCGUUGUCCGGAAUUAUUGGGCGUAAAGGGCUCGCAGGCGGUUUCUUUAAGUCUGAUGUGAAAGCCCCCGGCUCAACCGGGGGAGGGU